UAGUAGUAAAUUUAAACAAAACCUAUUUAUUUUGGCGGCAAUUAAUCUAAUUAAAGGAACUUGUUUAGUAAUCGAUAACUCACGUUUACUUUCACUUAAAUUAAAAAUUUAUAUACCGCCAUCUUAAGAAUCGAUUUCUAAAAACCAUCCAUUACUAUUAAAAAAUAAGUUAGGUCAAGGUGUAAUCUAAAUUUUAGAAAAAAUGAGUUACAAUAAAAAACAUUUAAGAACUUUUUAAUAAAAAUUAAAAAUGAAAAAGAAUUCAAACGUAAUUUUGAAAUAAAAAUUCAAUAUGAAUUUGCAAACAAAUGUGCACACAUCGCCC
RNAcentral lists this ribosomal RNA (325 nucleotides) under Ctenidae sp. RNAcentral describes it as "partial small subunit ribosomal RNA". The record is from RNAcentral. Lineage: Eukaryota; Metazoa; Arthropoda; Arachnida; Araneae; Ctenidae.